Molecule: ribosomal RNA, 429 nt
Filed under: Verrucomicrobiota bacterium
Lineage: Bacteria; Pseudomonadati; Verrucomicrobiota
Description: Verrucomicrobia bacterium partial 16S ribosomal RNA
Rfam family: Bacterial small subunit ribosomal RNA
Source: RNAcentral
UAGGGAAUCUUCGGCAAUGGGGGGAACCCUGACCGAGCAACGCCGCGUGAGUGAAGAAGGUUUUCGGAUCGUAAAGCUCUGUUGUUAAGGAAGAACGAGAGUGAGAAUGGAAAGUUCAUGCUGUGACGGUACUUAACCAGAAAGGGACGGCUAACUACGUGCCAGCAGCCGCGGUAAUACGUAGGUCCCGAGCGUUGUCCGGAUUUAUUGGGCGUAAAGCGAGCGCAGGCGGUUAGAAAAGUCUGAAGUGAAAGGCAGUGGCUCAACCAUUGUAGGCUUUGGAAACUGUUUAACUUGAGUGCAGAAGGGGAGAGUGGAAUUCCAUGUGUAGCGGUGAAAUGCGUAGAUAUAUGGAGGAACACCGGUGGCGAAAGCGGCUCUCUGGUCUGUAACUGACGCUGAGGCUCGAAAGCGUGGGGAGCGAACAGG